GUAGGUGGCAAGCGUUGUCCGGAAUUAUUGGGCGUAAAGCGCGCGCAGGCGGUUCUUUAAGUCUGAUGUGAAAGCCCACGGCUCAACCGUGGAGGGUCAUUGGAAACUGGAGAACUUGAGUACAGAAGAGGAAAGCGGAAUUCCACGUGUAGCGGUGGAAUGCGUAGAGAUGUGGAGGAACACCAGUGGCGAAGGCGGCUUUCUGGUCUGUAACUGACGCUGAGGCGCGAAAGCGUGGGGAGCAAACAGGAUUAGAUACCCUGGUAGUCCACGCCGUAAACGAUGAGUGCUAAGUGUUAGGGGGUUUCCGCCCCCCUUAGUGCUGCAGCUAACGCAUUAAGCACUCCGCCUGGGAUACGGCCGCAAGGCUG
Molecule: ribosomal RNA, 371 nt
Filed under: uncultured organism
Description: partial 16S ribosomal RNA
Rfam family: Bacterial small subunit ribosomal RNA
Source: RNAcentral